CAUAAUCAGUGAUUUUCAAUGUUUUCCUGAAUGUGUAAAUUCAAAAAAAGUGACAAUUUCCUUUUAAUAUCAGAAAACUACGUACAUGUAUUUUUAUAUGUUUGGAGCUCAAUAAUAAAAUACAGGCAUUGCCAUUUGCAGGAGAUCUCCAUUUGGUGGUUGUUAUAAAUGUAUAAUAUAGUUUUGUAUGAUUCUUCUUGCAGUUUAUUUUGUAACGUCUUCUACUGUGUUGCUGUUUGCUAUUAUAGUGUUUAAAGAGAUGAUCCGCCUGUGGUAUCUUUAUAUAAAAAAAUUUACAACCUGACAAAAUUGAAUGGCC
Molecule: non-coding RNA, 319 nt
Organism: Pelobates cultripes (western spadefoot toad)
Lineage: Eukaryota; Metazoa; Chordata; Amphibia; Anura; Pelobatidae
Source: the annotation of a GenBank genome assembly